AACGAACGCUGGCGGCAUGCCUAACACAUGCAAGUCGAACGAGACCUUCGGGUCUAGUGGCGCACGGGUGCGUAACGCGUGGGAACCUGCCCUUAGGUUCGGAAUAACUCCCCGAAAGGGGUGCUAAUACCGGAUAAUGUCUUCGGACCAAAGAUUUAUCGCCUUUGGAUGGGCCCGCGUUGGAUUAGCUAGUUGGUAGGGUAAAAGCCUACCAAGGCGACGAUCCAUAGCUGGUCUGAGAGGAUGAUCAGCCACACUGGGACUGAGACACGGCCCAGACUCCUACGGGAAGCAGCAGUGGGGAUUAUUGGACAAUGGGCGAAAGCCUGAUCCAGCAAUGCCGCGUGAGUGAUGAAGGCCUUAGGGUUGUAAAGCUCUUUUACCCGGGAUGAUAAUGACAGUACCGGGAGAAUAAGCUCCGGCUAACUCCGUG
Molecule: ribosomal RNA, 433 nt
Filed under: uncultured bacterium
Lineage: Bacteria
Description: partial 16S ribosomal RNA
Rfam family: Bacterial small subunit ribosomal RNA
Source: RNAcentral